RNAcentral lists this ribosomal RNA (234 nucleotides) under Sargassum sp. Its description in RNAcentral is "partial 18S ribosomal RNA". It matches the Rfam family "Eukaryotic small subunit ribosomal RNA", at positions 174 to 405 of the family's 1831-position model. Lineage: Eukaryota; Phaeophyceae; Fucales; Sargassaceae. The record is from RNAcentral.
ACAAGCCCAACUGCUUCGGCGGACGGGCUGCAUUGAUUAGACCGAAACCAAUCUGCUUUUCUAAAAACGGUAUUGUGGUGUAUCAUAAUCACUUGCGGAUCGCACGCUUCGGCGGCGACGUUUCAUUCAAGUUUCUGCCCUAUCAGCUUUGGAUGGUAGGGUAUUGGCCUACCAUGGCUUUAACGGGUAACGGGGAAUUGGGGUUCGAUUCCGGAGUUGGGAGCCUGAGAGACG